CUGACGGGUUCCCGCUUAGAGUCGGCCAAAUGCAGAGCAGGUGUGUCGCGGCCAGAUGAGACGAGGCCAUGGGCCUCAAACAGGUGUGUGUUUGUAAGACUGUGACCGUGUGCAUGUGUGUGUGUGUGUGUGUGUGUGUGUGUGUGUGAGCCUCACAGCCAGGCUCGGGGUGUGUUUGACCAGAGGCUGUGUUCUAGUUUUAGCUCUGACAUUAGGAAUUCUCAAAGUGCCCCUUAAAGUACAAACCACUACCUCUGUUUCCAAUAAAUCCCUAACUGUGCUUCUGUGCAUACAGCUUGUGCAGCUGCAUGCACGUGUUUUGGUGUGACAGUAGACACGUGCCUGGGUUUGCAUGUUUAACUUUAACACUACUUGUACUUUUCCUUCAAAUCUGAUAAAGUGAUUUCCUUUUUUGGUUUAAGCGAAUGUGUGCCUGCAAUGGAAUAGCCAUGAGUGUGGGAGUGCAGCCAGAAAACAUUACGCUACUCCGGUAUUCUAUUCUCUGGACGGACAGAGUUGUCUCUUGUUGUAUGCAGCUGCAUUCAAACUCAUGGGUGGUUUGUAUCCUCAGGCUGGAGGAACACUUUGGAAAACACCUCUCUCUGCAGGGAAUGUUUGUCUGUUACUGGAAUCAUUGGCCUGCGUAGUUAUAGCCAUCUUUCAUCUGAGUUACAUUUUCACUAUUACAGGUCUUAAACCCAACUUGCCUUCUGCUCUUUCGGAAAAAAAAAAGGUUACUGCAGUAUUAUAGAGAAACAAAUUUAGAGCCGUGCACACACUCAUUAAGGUGGAUCAAAAUAAUGGCCUCACCUCAUGGUGUGCACCUUGGAAGACACCUCCACCUCCUCCAUUAACUGCACUCUGCACGACAGGAAUGAACUAAUUAGAAAAGGGAUCAAAAGGUUUAAUUGUAAUGUCAAGCAAUGUAGAAUUAUGCCUGAAAAGUUUAAACAAAUUGCAAUUUAAUGAGUUGCACCUAUUUUCAUCAUGCCCCAGAAUCUCUGGUAAAACCUGCGUGUUUCACAGAAGAGAACCGGUUUUGUUUGCCCGCUAAUGCCAACGCUUUGACUCAUGAUUUAUGGAAUCACUGUGUCUGAAACCUUGGCCUGUUUCAUUGUACGUCAACGUUGUUAAUUAAAACCUGGGGAAAGUUCUAAAUUUGCUUCUUCCACAACAGGCCCUCCACCAAUUUUGACCUGCAGAAGGGAGGCGGACAUUCUUGAGAGGACGAGAAGGUCAAAUUACCAUCCCAAUCAAGUCGGAGGGGGAUGACGAGCAUCUGCAGGACUCCUGCCCCACGACAUCUGCAGACGACUGAGACACCACGACAGGAACACACACACACACACGUGCUGCCUGCACCGCAGUUAAAAAGCACACGCAGCCUAAAAUAGAAGCGAUAGGGAACGAGGUAUUGAGCGGAGUAGAAAGAGCACAGGGAUGUAGACUCAAUGGCAGUAACGUUGUGCUUCAUGUUACUGCCUCAAGAGCAAACAGGAUCUGCUUUAAUAAAGCUGAUAUGUUAACUGCAAAAAUCUCAACUGCCUGUCGCUCGGUGCUAAGCGACAGGGAGCGUACAGCUGGUAAGUUUCAGCAGCUGGUACAGCUGGUAACGACACUGAUAAGUUUCGCACAGGGAAGAACACAAAAGCAAUAAGCCGAAUGAUGCUAAAAUGCUCCGUGGAGCCGAAGGAAACUCACUUAGCUGAUGACCUUCUGUGGGGUCAUCACUACAAGUAAGCACUUUCCACACACACACAGCCCCGUAUCUUCAAACAGGGAGCUCAUCCCAUUUGACACGUGAAAGAUUGAUGCGCUACUCUUUUUUGUCGUCUGAAAUAAUUAGAAAUGCAAAAUUGUUUUUGAAGGAUAGUAUUUCCACCAGAGCGGUUUUAAUCUGCUCCAUUCAUCUCAGUCACACUUAAAGCUAAUUAAAAGGACAAGCUGUUGCAGUGAGAUCGUUUUUCUACCAGAACAGAAUUAAGUUGACUUCUUCAGCUCCCUAAUGACAGAAAUCUCAUAGCAGUGUUUCAAACUAACGAACUGUUCACCAACCUUAAACGCGCGCUCGCAAAGCACGAGUGGAAAUACGGUGACACGUCUCCUACAAACUCAGCUUACUUCCGCCAAUUGCACGCAGGCAGCAGAAAUGAGUUUAAGCAGCAUUUCCGACACAUUUCUGAGCGGCACUAGCCCUUAUAUAAAACUGUGUAGAAGAUUGUGUGAAGGUUCAACAAAGUCACAGUUGCCCAAUGAGAUAAUCACAGGUUCCGUCUGUCUGACCUGCGGAGCAGCGAACGUGUCUUUGUGCACGUAUACGCAAGUGCUGGUGCUCGUGAGUCUAUUUCUGAGUCCAUGUGCGAGGGAAGAUUUAAAGAGGAUUUAAAACAUUGCGUGCCAGCAGGAAACAUUAGUGUGCGUCUCAGAGCUCGCUGAUGUGUGUGAAUGCGAUGAGUUAUUCUCAUCAAACCGUUCACUGGGAAGCCGUGCUACAAUAGGAGAGCUCUGACCUAACUGAAGCCUUUCUGUGGGCGGUCAGCUGGUUGAUACUUUUAGCACUCUUAGGUGAACCAGCUAAAUUACUGUGGCAAGCUGCGAAAUGCCAUUUCUUUCCUAUUUACUGAGGUGUCAGCUCAGCCUUAAAUUGUGCCUGUGUUUCAAGGUAGAAUCUGUGUAUUGGACAAGCUGUGACCUAUACAGGUUGGAAAUGUAUUACUUUUGACCUUUUCGAAUCAUAAUACGACGUUAAACAUUUGGGAAAAGCGCUCACUCCUGUGACCAACGUGUCCCAUGUCCUCCAUGACGUGCAGGAUUUAGUUUUUAGUCCUUUCUACAAACAAAAUGCCACAAUUUAGUGAGCGUGGGUAUUUGGAGAGCGGGUAGAAGACUGAUGACCUCGGUUUAAACAUACCCUGGUUUUGCACUUACCAACAGUACAAAAAGUGUUCCGUUAUAGAAUCAUUAAAAUACCACAUUUCUCUCUUUUCAGUUAAAAAAAGGCGUUUUGCAUUUGCCCAAAAAUAAUGCCGUUUUGGACAGCGAAAAAAACAAGUCACCUCAAAUCUGUUUUAUUUCAACCCAAUUAAGCUUAAUUAUGACAUGCCACUGCCAAUUUCAGUCAAAAGAUAACUCUUUGUAGUUGUUUUCUUUACAUGUCUUGAACGUCAACUUUGUUGCUGAAUGGGUUUGUAAAAAUCUCACAUUUCCAUUUUGUGGCUGUGUGUACUUUGGGAAACAAGACCAGAGGGACCCAAGGAAGCAGAGCAAAACUCUCAAAAGCCUCAAGUGUCAGAGCUAGUUAGCGCGACGUCUUAUUCACACCUCCAUGUGAAUGGAAUUGAUUCAAUUGAUUGAAUCUGUCUGAGAUUAGGUAACCUCGGCGUAUAAUUAGAAAGACACACACGGG
Long non-coding RNA from Gasterosteus aculeatus aculeatus (three-spined stickleback), 3406 nucleotides. NCBI's taxonomy places the organism in Eukaryota, Metazoa, Chordata, Actinopteri, Perciformes, Gasterosteidae. The record is from Ensembl.